CAGCAGCCACGGGAAUACGUAGGGUGCGAGCGUUAAUCGGAAUUACUGGGCGUAAAGCGUGCGCAGGCGGUUGUGUAAGACAGGUGUGAAAUCCCCGGGCUUAACCUGGGAACUGCGCUUGUGACUGCACAGCUAGAGUAUGGCAGAGGGGGGUGGAAUUCCACGUGUAGCAGUGAAAUGCGUAGAGAUGUGGAGGAACACCGAUGGCGAAGGCAGCCCCCUGGGCCAAUACUGACGCUCAUGCACGAAAGCGUGGGGAGCAAACAGGAUUAGAGACCCGCGUAGUCCCUGUCUCUUAUAC
This 301-nucleotide ribosomal RNA is filed under the name uncultured bacterium. Its description in RNAcentral is "partial 16S ribosomal RNA". It matches the Rfam family "Bacterial small subunit ribosomal RNA", at positions 509 to 807 of the family's 1533-position model. The record is from RNAcentral.